Molecule: ribosomal RNA, 513 nt
Filed under: uncultured Eubacteriales bacterium
Lineage: Bacteria; Bacillati; Bacillota; Clostridia; Eubacteriales
Description: bacterial SSU rRNA
Rfam family: Bacterial small subunit ribosomal RNA
Source: RNAcentral
AAGGUUUCGUAAGUCCUUCGGCGUCACGGAUGAACGGCGUGGCGGCGGUAGCCUAACACACUGCAAGUCGAACGGGGCGCGCAGGCUGAGGCUUUCGGAGCGGAGCCGGCGCUGCCCAGUGGCGGACGGGUGGAGUAACGCGUGGGCGAACCUGCCCUGCACUGGGGGACAACAGCCGGAAACGGCUGCUAAUACCGCAUAUGCCCGCAGCCCCGCAUGGGCGGCGGGGGAAGCUCCGGCGGUGCAGGAUGGGCCCGCGUCUGAUUAGCUGGUUGGCGGGGCAACGGCCCACCAAGGCGACGAUCAGUAGCCGGCCUGAGAGGGUGGGCGGCCGCAUUGGGACUGAGACACGGCCCAGACUCCUACGGGAGGCAGCAGUGGGGGAUAUUGCACAAUGGGGGGAACCCUGAUGCAGCGACGCCGCGUGGGCGAUGGAGUGCUUCGGCAUGUAAAGCCCUAUCAGCAGGGAAGAAAAUGACGGUACCUGACUAAGGAGCCCCGGCUAAAUACGUG